UACCAGCACCCCGAGUGGUCGGGACGUUUAUUGGGCCUAAAGCAUCCGUAGCCGGUUCUACAAGUUCUUCCGUUAAAUCCAGCUGCUUAACAGAUGGGCUGCGGAAGAUACUAUGGAGCUAGGAGGCGGGAGAGGGCAAGCGGUACUCGAUGGGUAGGGGUAAAAUCCGUUGAUCCAUUGAAGACCACCAGUGGCGAAGGCGGCUUGCCAGAACGCGCUCGACGGUGAGGGAUGAAAGCUGGGGGAGCAAACCGG
Molecule: ribosomal RNA, 255 nt
Filed under: uncultured bacterium
Lineage: Bacteria
Description: partial 16S ribosomal RNA
Rfam family: Archaeal small subunit ribosomal RNA
Source: RNAcentral